UACGUAGGGGGCGAGCGUUACCCGGAAUCACUGGGCGUAAAGCGUGCGCAGGCGGCCCGUUAAGACAGGUGUGAAAUCCCUGGGCUCAACCUAGGAAUUGCGCUUGUGACUGGCGGGCUCGAGUACGGUAGAGGGGGGUGGAAUUCCUGGUGUAGCAGUGAAAUGCGUAGAGAUCAGGAGGAACACCGAUGGCGAAGGCAGCCCCCUGGGCCUGUACUGACGCUCAUGCACGAAAGCGUGGGGAGCAAACAGG
Molecule: ribosomal RNA, 253 nt
Filed under: uncultured microorganism
Description: partial 16S ribosomal RNA
Rfam family: Bacterial small subunit ribosomal RNA
Source: RNAcentral